This 346-nucleotide non-coding RNA is filed under the name Streptomyces afghaniensis 772. RNAcentral's name for it is "Bacterial large subunit ribosomal RNA". It matches the Rfam family "Bacterial large subunit ribosomal RNA", at positions 290 to 611 of the family's 2925-position model. The record is from Rfam by way of RNAcentral. Lineage: Bacteria; Bacillati; Actinomycetota; Actinomycetes; Kitasatosporales; Streptomycetaceae.
AUACGGGGUUGUGGGAUCUCUCUUUCACGGUCUGCCGGCCGUGAGACGAGUCAGAAACCGUUGAUGCAGGCGAAGGACAUGCGAAAGGUCCGGCGUAGAGGGUAAGACCCCCGUAGUCGAAACGUCAGCGGCUCGUUUGAGAGACACCCAAGUAGCACGGGGCCCGAGAAAUCCCGUGUGAAUCUGGCGGGACCACCCGCUAAGCCUAAAUAUUCCCUGGUGACCGAUAGCGGAUAGUACCGUGAGGGAAUGGUGAAAAGUACCGCGGGAGCGGAGUGAAAUAGUACCUGAAACCGUGUGCCUACAAGCCGUGGGAGCGUCGGAUGGAAGCUUGCUUCCAUCUCGU